RNAcentral lists this ribosomal RNA (431 nucleotides) under uncultured bacterium. RNAcentral describes it as "partial 16S ribosomal RNA". It matches the Rfam family "Bacterial small subunit ribosomal RNA", at positions 29 to 507 of the family's 1533-position model. The record is from RNAcentral.
AACGAACGCUGGCGGCAGGCUUAACACAUGCAAGUCGAGCGCCCCGCAAGGGGAGCGGCAGACGGGUGAGUAACGCGUGGGAACGUACCUUUUGGUUCGGAACAACUCCGGGAAACUGGAGCUAAUACCGGAUAAGCCCUAACGGGGAAAGAUUUAUCGCCGAAAGAUCGGCCCGCGUCUGAUUAGCUAGUUGGUGAGGUAACGGCUCACCAAGGCGACGAUCAGUAGCUGGUCUGAGAGGAUGAUCAGCCACACUGGGACUGAGACACGGCCCAGACUCCUACGGGAGGGAGCAGUGGGGAAUAUUGGACAAUGGGGGCAAGGCUGAGCCAGCCAUGCCGCGUGAGUGAUGAAGGCCUUAGGGUUGUAAAGCUCUUUUGUCCGGGAAGAUAAUGACUGUACCGGAAGAAUAAGCCCCGGCUAACUUCGUG